GCCGUGUGUGUGUGUAUGUGUGUGUGCGCGCAUGUACAUGUACGCAUAAGCGUGUGCUGUAUGUGAGCCUCCUGGGCAUGGGUGGGGGUUGGCAUUGCGGUUGCCAAUCUAGUGUCCAACCAGAAGGACAGAGGGAUGGAGUGGAAGAAGGAGGGGAGAGGCUUGGGGUCUGGGAGGGGAGAAGAGGGUGCAUGAGUUGCUUCAUGCUGCCUGCUUACAGGCAUUGGCAUUGUAGCUGCCACCCUUUUGCCCACGGAGAUGGGAGGAGGCGAGUGGAGGGCGCAGCGGCAGGAGUCCUGUGCUCUGGGAGGAAGGCUUUGUACAUGGGAGCUGUUGGCAUCACAUCUGUCAGGCCGGUGCCCAGAACUGGGGCAAUGGAGACUGGGGGAUCCAGGAAGCAGGGAGGAGGGGCAGAAUGUGUUUCUGAUGUUGCUGUCCCUCUAGAAGCUCAGCUCUGAAAAAUGGUUGGAGUAUGAGGCAUGGGGAGUGGAGCAACAGACGGAGAGUGGCAUGAAGACACAAAGGAGGAAGCACACCAUUGCCAAGACCCCAAGGAAGAAGGAUGGAAAGCGCUGGCAGUCCUGCCUGGCCCCCAGCCAGUUCCCUGCUGAAGAUGGCCAGAUCCCCUUGUCUGGUCUGUAUAUGCCACUUUUGCUGGGGUGGAAGGAGGGAAGGGCUGGCUUGCUGAGCUAGGCUCUAGAAUGGGAAGGGUACCUUUCUGCAGAUCCCAUUUGGACUCUCCACUUGAACAAGUGAGGUGUCUGAUUUUCUUCUUCGGUACCUUCCUCUCCUCCCCCUCCCUUCGCCUCACCCCGCUUUCAUCUAUCAUCACCACCUGGGUCCUACUGCUUGGCACCCAACCAACUGGAUGCCGCCACGUUUGGCAGUGCUGCACUGGCACGUGAACAGUGUCUCAGAUCCUGGCACUGCAGCAAACCCAAAGCCACCAAACAUGCUCAUGAUGCCACUUGGCAGCAGUCAGAGAGAGGGGGCUGUGCACAUAGUGGUGCCAGGCAUUGGGUGGAGCUCUGUGCAGGGAACUGGCAUGAGAGGAUGCCCUUAACAACUGGGCUGAGUCAGCACUCCCUGGUCAAUCUCAGCUCUGCCUUCCUCCCAACUAGAUAUCCACCUCCUUCCUACCCUUAUUGCCCCCACGAAAGGGAUUUAGAUGGUACCAUAUUGAGUGUUUGAGCACCAUGCGAAAGGAAACAAGCACAGAGGGACAGGCUAGAGCACAGGCUGUAGACACACCCAAGGCUCCAGGCUAGUGGACCAUACAUAUCCUUGGACAACAACAACAACAAAACCCUAGGAGAGCAAAAGGAGGUGGAGAGAGGGACACCAGCUGGGUUGUUACCAGGAUGGCACAAGAAGAGAUUGGAAGGGAAGUAGGAAGGAGUGACCCUCAGACCUUGCUCUUGGGUGAUGGGGUGGUUUGUACUUAUGCAUAUUUCAUUCUGCCUUGUGCCUUGUGAUUUGCUGAGCUGUGGUUGAGAUGAACUGGUUCUUUCUCCCUUGUUAAAAGGUCCAUAUUCAAUAAUAGUCCUAGAAAGAUGGAAAGGUGCUCUAGGCCUAGAGAGGUAGACAGGUGUUAGGAAGACAAAGGGACUUGUCCUUCCAGAAAGACUAUGC
RNAcentral lists this long non-coding RNA (1632 nucleotides) under Pan troglodytes (chimpanzee). Its description in RNAcentral is "long non-coding RNA NONPTRT004735". The record is from RNAcentral. Lineage: Eukaryota; Metazoa; Chordata; Mammalia; Primates; Hominidae.